Molecule: ribosomal RNA, 429 nt
Filed under: Acidobacteriota bacterium
Lineage: Bacteria; Pseudomonadati; Acidobacteriota
Description: Acidobacteria bacterium partial 16S ribosomal RNA
Rfam family: Bacterial small subunit ribosomal RNA
Source: RNAcentral
UGGGGAAUAUUGGACAAGGGGCGCAAGCCUGAUCCAGCCAUACCGCGUGGGUGAAGAAGGCCUUCGGGUUGUAAAGCCCUUUUGUUGGGAAAGAAAAGCAGCUGGUUAAUACCCGGUUGUUCUGACGGUACCCAAAGAAUAAGCACCGGCUAACUUCGUGCCAGCAGCCGCGGUAAUACGAAGGGUGCAAGCGUUACUCGGAAUUACUGGGCGUAAAGCGUGCGUAGGUGGUUGUUUAAGUCUGUCGUGAAAGCCCUGGGCUCAACCUGGGAAUUGCGAUGGAAACUGGGCGACUAGAGUGUGGCAGAGGAUAGUGGAAUUCCGUGUGUAGCAGUGAAAUGCGUAGAGAUCAGGGGGAACAUCCGUGGCGAAGGCGACUGUCUGGGCCAACACUGACACUGAGGCACGAAAGCGUGGGGAGCAAACAGG